UACAGAGGGUGCAAGCGUUAAUCGGAAUUACUGGGCGUAAAGCGUGCGUAGACGGUUAUGUAAGUCAGGUGUGAAAGCCCAGGGCUCAACCUUGGAAUUGCAUUUGAGACUGCAUAGCUAGGGUGCGGAAGAGGGAAGCGGAAUUUCCGGUGUAGCGGUGAAAUGCGUAGAUAUCAGGAGGAACACCGGUGGCGAAGGCGGGUCUCUGGGCCGUAACUGACGCUGAGGAGCGAAAGCGUGGGGAGCGAACAGG
RNAcentral lists this ribosomal RNA (253 nucleotides) under uncultured bacterium. RNAcentral describes it as "partial 16S ribosomal RNA". It matches the Rfam family "Bacterial small subunit ribosomal RNA", at positions 524 to 776 of the family's 1533-position model. The record is from RNAcentral.